RNAcentral lists this long non-coding RNA (568 nucleotides) under Pan troglodytes (chimpanzee). Its description in RNAcentral is "lincRNA". The record is from RNAcentral. Lineage: Eukaryota; Metazoa; Chordata; Mammalia; Primates; Hominidae.
GAAAGAGGAAAAAAGUGAUCUGGGACCUGUUUUUCUUGCAUCCCAUUUCUACUCUGCCUGUGAGUGAAGACUGUUGUGGAAAAGUCAACUGGAGAGACCAGGUCAAAGGCCAAGCAGAAGAGGAAUUAGGCUUAAGACUGCACUGAGAGGGAACACUAGACCAUGGUGGCAAAAUGGCCGAAUAGGAACAGCUCCAGUCUACAGCUCCCAGGGAGAUUAAAGCAAAAGAUGGAGUCUCGACACGUUGCCCAAGCUGUUCUCAAACUCCAGGGCUUGAACAAUCUUCCCACCUUGGCCUCCCAAGGCACUGGAAUUACAGAGACAGUGCUCUGCAGGGAGUCUACCACUGUGAUGGUUAAUACUGAGUGUCAACUUGAUUGGAUUGAAGGAUGCAAAGUAUUGUUCCUGGGUGUGUCUGUGAGGGUGUUGCCAAAGGAGAUUAACAUUUGAGUCAGUGGGCUGGGAAAGGUAGACCCAGCCGUAAUCUAGGUGGGCACCAUCUAAUCAGCUGCCAGCACAGCUAGAAGAUAAAGUAGGCAGAAAAACAUGAAAACAAUAGACUGGCCUA